Molecule: ribosomal RNA, 506 nt
Filed under: uncultured bacterium
Lineage: Bacteria
Description: partial 16S ribosomal RNA
Rfam family: Bacterial small subunit ribosomal RNA
Source: RNAcentral
AGUGAACGCUGGCGGCAGGCCUAACACAUGCAAGUCGAACGGCAGCACAGAGGAGCUUGCUCCUUGGGUGGCGAGUGACGGACGGGUGAGGAAUACAUCGGAAUCUGCCUAUUUGUGGGGGAUAACGUAGGGAAACUUACGCUAAUACCGCAUACGACCUACGGGUGAAAGCGGAGGACCUUCGGGCUUCGCGCAGAGAGAUGAGCCGAUGUCGGAUUAGCUAGUUGGCGGGGUAAAGGCCCACCAAGGCGACGAUCCGUAGCUGGUCUGAGAGGAUGAUCAGCCACACUGGAACUGAGACACGGUCCAGACUCCUACGGGAGGCAGCAGUGGGGAAUAUUGGACAAUGGGCGCAAGCCUGAUCCAGCCAUGCCGCGUGGGUGAAGAAGGCCUUCGGGUUGUAAAGCCCUUUUGUUGGGAAAGAAAAGCAGCCGGUUAAUACCCGGUUGUUCUGACGGUACCCAAAGAAUAAGCACCGGCUAACUUCGUGCCAGCAGCCGCCGUAA